CUUUGAACUCGUGAUCCUCCUGCCUCAGCCUCUAGAGCCACUGGGAUUAUACCUGGCAACACCCUUGCUUUUGAUAGGUGUUUGCCUCUGGAAGAAAUAGAACUGGUUCUGUGUUUAAAUCAAUGUAUUGCAGCCAAUUGCAAGUCAACUUCUGUUAUUGGGAGCAGCAGCCUUAGAGUAGAAAAACCAGCCUUGUUUCUGCCUUGAAGUUGAGAUCCUGCAAGAGAUAAUGUGAGAUUUUUCUAGCUGAUGAUUGGUUGUUAACUUUAUAGCUAUUUGGAGGUUAGCUUGAAUCUGAGAGAAGGCAUAUGUGUGGGACUUUGUGUGCUGGGGGUCAAUAAGAAAGUCUCAACAAUAGUCAGGACAGUGGAAAAUGGCUUGAGUCACAGACGGGAUUGCAUCCUUCACAGUGAGAACUGUCUGCCCCUCCCAUUCCCAGAGCCCUUAAGCAACCUGUCUGUC
Molecule: long non-coding RNA, 462 nt
Filed under: Marmota monax (woodchuck)
Lineage: Eukaryota; Metazoa; Chordata; Mammalia; Rodentia; Sciuridae
Source: RNAcentral